AUUGAACGCUGGCGGCAGGCCUAACACAUGCAAGUCGAACGGUAACAGGAAGAAGCUUGCUUCUUUGCUGACGAGUGGCGGACGGGUGAGUAAUGUCUGGGAAACUGCCUGAUGGAGGGGGAUAACUACUGGAAACGGUAGCUAAUACCGCAUAACGUCGCAAGCCCAAAGAGGGGGACCUUCGGGCCUCUUGCCAUCGGAUGUGCCCAGAUGGGAUUAGCUUGUUGGUGGGGUAACGGCUCACCAAGGCGACGAUCCCUAGCUGGUCUGAGAGGAUGACCGGCCACACUGGAACUGAGACACGGUCCAGACUCCUACGGGAGGCAGCAGUGGGGAAUAUUGCACAAUGGGCGCAAGCCUGAUGCAGCCAUGCCGCGUGUAUGAAGAAGGCCUUCGGGUUGUAAAGUACUUUCAGCGGGGAGGAAGGGAGUAAAGUUAAUACCUUUGCUCAUUGACGUUACCCGCAGAAGAAGCACCGGCUAACUCCGUG
Molecule: ribosomal RNA, 490 nt
Filed under: uncultured bacterium
Lineage: Bacteria
Description: partial 16S ribosomal RNA
Rfam family: Bacterial small subunit ribosomal RNA
Source: RNAcentral